UACGUAGGGGGCAAGCGUUGUCCGGAUUUAUUGGGCGUAAAGAGCGUGUAGGCGGCCAUACAGGUCAGCUGUGAAAACUCGAGGCUCAACCUCGAGACGUCGGUUGAAACCGUAUGGCUAGAGUCCGGAAGAGGAGAGUGGAAUUCCCGGUGUAGCGGUGAAAUGCGCAGAUAUCGGGAAGAACACCCGUGGCGAAGGCGGCUCUCUGGGACGGUACUGACGCUCAUGCACGACAGCGUGGGGAUCAAACAGG
RNAcentral lists this ribosomal RNA (253 nucleotides) under uncultured bacterium. RNAcentral's name for it is "partial 16S ribosomal RNA". It matches the Rfam family "Bacterial small subunit ribosomal RNA", at positions 524 to 776 of the family's 1533-position model. The record is from RNAcentral.